UGUUUAUGGAGCACAUGCUGGCUGCACAGGUGGUCACCUCUUAUGACCCCGAGUCCUAGAUGGGCCUCCCACUGUGAGCCCAUCACCCUUGGUCCACAUCCAUCCAUGGCGCCUGGAGAUCUUCCUGACCCAGGGAUCAAACCUGCAUCUCCUGCAUUGCAGGCAGAUUCUUUACCACUGAGCCACGAGGGAAGACCCGUGCAGGAAACUGCAUGCAGUUCAAUGAAGUUUCACAAAGCGGCUGCAUCCGUUUACCUAGGACCCAGGCCAGUGUGUUAAAUGAAGAAGCAAUAUAUGACUGCUGUUGCCCAACUGGAAUUCAGUAAGCAAAUCCCAAAGGAAGAGCGAAACUCUAAGAAGGAAAAUCUGACUAAGUUUAGCAUCUCCCACCCACACAAGGUCUCUCCUUCCAAGUCUCUCAUCUCUUUUUAUAUCGGGAAGUUUUGCUACUUUUUUCUAGUGUAGGAAGCCAGUCUCAGACCAGAGUUAGGAAUCCAGCUGUAAAAUCAAGUCUUCUUUCACGGCUGCAUAAAAUUGGACUAACUGACAAAAUCAACUGUAAAACUGCACAAACUCUGUACUUGGCUAUCCCUGGGAAAGCUUUUCCCUAUGUGAGAAAAUAGACUGAAACUCAGGAUAGACUCUCAGGAGAGCUCUGGAAUUCA
This is a long non-coding RNA of Capra hircus (goat), 665 nucleotides long. RefSeq lists it as uncharacterized. The record is from RefSeq and is a predicted model, not a curated record. Lineage: Eukaryota; Metazoa; Chordata; Mammalia; Artiodactyla; Bovidae. The transcript is spliced from 3 exons.